RNAcentral lists this ribosomal RNA (368 nucleotides) under uncultured organism. RNAcentral describes it as "bacterial SSU rRNA". It matches the Rfam family "Bacterial small subunit ribosomal RNA", at positions 526 to 896 of the family's 1533-position model. The record is from RNAcentral.
CGGAGGGUGCAAGCGUUAUCCGGAUUCGCUGGGUUUAAAGGGUGCGUAGGCGGGCAGGUAAGUCAGUGGUGAAAUCUUUGGGCUUAACCCGAAAACUGCCAUUGAUACUAUCUGUCUUGAAUAUUGUGGAGGUUAGCGGAAUAUGUCAUGUAGCGGUGAAAUGCUUAGAUGUGACAUAGAACACCUAUUGCGAAGGCAGCUAACUACGCAUAUAUUGACGCUGAGGCACGAAAGCGUGGGGAUCAAACAGGAUUAGAUACCCUGGUAGUCCACGCCCUAAACGAUGGAUACUCGACAUACGCGAUACACUGUGUGUGUCUGAGCGAAAGCAUUAAGUAUCCCACCUGGGAAGUACGACCGCAAGGUUG